This 328-nucleotide ribosomal RNA is filed under the name uncultured eukaryote. Its description in RNAcentral is "partial 18S ribosomal RNA". It matches the Rfam family "Eukaryotic small subunit ribosomal RNA", at positions 1470 to 1796 of the family's 1831-position model. The record is from RNAcentral.
CCCUUAGAUGUCCGGGGCUGCACGCGCGCUACACUGAAGGAAUCAGCGUGCUAAAACCAUUGUCGAAAGGCAUUGGUAAACCCAUUAAAAUCCUACGUGAUUGGGAUCGGGAAUUGCAAUUAUUUCCCUUGAACGAGGAAUUCCCAGUAAGUGUGGGUCAUAAGCUCGCGUUGAUUACGUCCCUGCCCUUUGUACACACCGCCCGUCGCUGCCCGGGACGGAGCCGUUUCGAGAAAAGCGGGGACUGCUGCUGUCGGGGCUUUCGGGCCUUGGCUUCGGUGGAAACCGCUUUAAUCGCAGUGGCUUGAACCGGGCAAAAGUCGUAACA